Molecule: long non-coding RNA, 2353 nt
Organism: Gopherus evgoodei (Goodes thornscrub tortoise)
Lineage: Eukaryota; Metazoa; Chordata; Testudines; Testudinidae
Exons: 3
Source: RefSeq, a predicted model, not a curated record
UGCACAGCACAGCCAGGAAUAGCCAGCACAGAGUUUAGAAACCAGCUUUAGCAUCCCAUGACAUGCUCUUCUUUGUGUUCACAGACGUUCUGAAGCAAACACCAAGUAGUCAUGACUGUAUAUGUGCAAUUUCUCUUCAGCGUUAGCCCUCCGGUCUCCCAAAAUACACAAAGCACCACUCGACACAACUGAGCCAACAUGUCCUCAUCCUUAUAAUCUGGGCAUGGAGUCAAAAGCCAAGAAGUGCAGUUGGCAGAGAAUCCUAGCUGGUAACCCUGCUGAGGGGAAGGGAUACUAAUGUUGCAGUCUGUCUCUUAGGAUUUCUUUUAUGUUCUGGCAUCUUGAAAUUUGCCACACCAAAUGAUAUCUAUCUCCCUGGAAGUGGCUCCUGUGAUCCAGCACAGAGUUGCAAAACUUUCAGUGCUUUGGCCUGAUUGAAAGAGCAAAGAAGUGGAAAACGAGACCCAUCAGUAAUCCAAGCAUGACUUGGGAAGCUCCAGCAGUGUUGUUCAACCCCUCCCCCGCUUACAUCAGGCGCUCCACUUUUAUCAAUCAGUACACUUGCGUUGUUGGACCAUUUCUUCAACUGUGAUCUUCCCCAAGACACAGAGCUCUGCCAGGGAACAACAUUUGGUGUUUGUGGCCAGUCUCCAGAGGGCCACGACAACUCUGUCAUGCAGAGGGACAGCAGCUUGCAUACUCACACAUUUCUGUUGUUAGGCCAUUCACCAGCCAGACACACACAAUGUCAGAAAUGUGCUUGGUCAUUUGCAGCUGUCUUAUCUGCUAACUGAUGGUUCAGGCACUUAGACCAUCAGCCUGCCAACAGGCUGAGCUCAGCCUAGCCCACAGUGUCAUCCUCAAUCUUCAGUUUGGUAAUGUAAGUGGACAACAAAUUCUGCAUGCACCUUUGCCUCCUCUUCAGACACCUAUUCAGAGCAUCCUGGGUGCUGUUAUCUCUUCUAUGCUGCUGUGCUUCCACAGCACUGGGUGACAAGCAGCAUAAUCCUGAUGAAGCAAUCUGCAGUGACAAAAAAGUCUCCAUGAUGGAAAAAACCAGCAUGACCUGUGAGGCGGGGGAUUACAGGUUUUACGUAAGAAAUCCCAUAAAUCCUAAGGGAAAAAACCAAAAAUAUCCACAGCUUUGGUGUGUGCAACUGUUGCUGGGGCUCCAGGGAAUAGCAACAUUUCCCAGAAUGCUUCCCUAAGUUGCUUCCCUGGUUGGGCACUUUUAGCUGUGAACAUGAAAACACAGUUCUGAUGGCAGAAAAGCUGUGGCAUUGUCAACCUGAACCAUGUCACAUGACUGCGCCCUUAACUUAUUACAAAACAAAGGUUCCAGCUGCACUGUGGAUGGAGCCAACACUGCAUGUUGUGAAUAUGCUAUCAGGACAAUGUUGUACUUAUUAUAGGAGCAGCUGCUUGAAAACCAGGAGAGGAGACUGCCAAGAUUUCUGAACCUCCAUUUUUAAUACUUCUGUCUUUGUUUUCUUGAGAAUUUAUAAAGAUUUCCUCCCCAUGCUUGUGGUCCAGAUGCCUGACCUUUUAUAAUGAGGCAACCACACCUAUGAUCCAAAUCGUCUCACUUCUCACAAGGUGGCAUCAUAAUGUUCAAAAUAGCAGAGUCAGGCUGGAAGAGCUAUCACUGAGACUUUUACCAAAGGAAACAGGGAUAGGAAGAGGGAUGAACAGGAACAAAUUUUGUCAGAAGUUCAGAAGUUCCAUCAGGAAUAUGUGGUAGUUUGGUCUACGUGGACAGAAGUGCAGGAGAAUGGGGGAGAAAUAAUGAAAUAGAAUGGGAAGUCAUCUGUGGUUACGUAGGGUUUGUUGUUAUGGGUAGUCUAAUACGUGAGAUCUUGGGUCAGUCUCUAGUUUUAUUAUUUGAAGGUGGUGAUGAAAUAACAGUAAAAACCUCAAAAGGCUUGACUGAUAGCUCAUACAUGGGGGUUCACAGAAUCAUCGUAUCUACAGAUGGAAGGCAUAUUGUACAUUUAUUGGUGUUCUGGCCCGCAUACUUUUAAAAGUGCCACGUGAUCACACUUCCAGUGCUUUGUUUGGGAGACCACUACACAGGCUAAUAGCUCUUAUUAUCAGGAAGAUGUUCCUUAACUUUUCUUACUUCCUCAUACUAACUGCAAGGAAGUCCUCAUUUUAUGAUAUUAAAAAAUUCCACUGCAUCACUGGUGUUCACAUUCUUCAAAUUUUUUCAACUAUUAUCAUAUCCACAUUUAGUUGUCAGUUUGCCAAGCUAUAUGUACGUAACUCUUUUCAACUUCAUAAAUAAAACAAUGUAGUCCUCCACCUGCCAGCCCUUUUCACUGGUUUGCCCUUAACUUUCUCCCAUUUUUUAUUA